AUCGAUGUUGUCUCCGACGACAUAGCAGCGGCCGUGAAAUGCGGUGGUUGAAGGAGCGGCGGAGGACGGUGAAGCGGUUGCUCGAGGGAUGAUAGUUGCAGCACGUGGCGGCGCGUGGGAGAUGGCGAUGGAUAGAUCAUUGCGGAAAUUGGAGUGGGGAGAGGGGAAUUUGAUGGUUUGAGGAGAAGGCAGAAGGGAAAUGGACGGUGACGAUCGGGGAGUGGAAGUGGCGAUAGGGCUCUGAGACAGAAACAGUGAAGCCGCCAUGGUUGUCUCUGGCCGAGAAAAUGUGAGAUCGAACGGGGACG
Molecule: unclassified non-coding RNA, 308 nt
Filed under: Hevea brasiliensis (rubber tree)
Lineage: Eukaryota; Viridiplantae; Streptophyta; Magnoliopsida; Malpighiales; Euphorbiaceae
Source: RNAcentral